RNAcentral lists this ribosomal RNA (696 nucleotides) under uncultured Nostocales cyanobacterium. RNAcentral describes it as "bacterial SSU rRNA". It matches the Rfam family "Bacterial small subunit ribosomal RNA", at positions 94 to 825 of the family's 1533-position model. The record is from RNAcentral. Lineage: Bacteria; Bacillati; Cyanobacteriota; Cyanophyceae; Nostocales.
AGUGGCGGACGGGUGAGUAACGCGUGAGAAUCUGGCUUCAGGUUCGGGAUAACAGUUGGAAACGACUGCUAAUACCGGAUAAGCCCGUGGGUAAAAGAUUAAUUGCCUGAAGAUGAGCUCGCGUCCGAUUAGCUAGUUGGUGUGGUAAAGGCGCACCAAGGCGGCGAUCGGUAGCUGGUCUGAGAGGACGAUCAGCCACACUGGGACUGAGACACGGCCCAGACUCCUACGGGAGGCAGCAGUGGGGAAUUUUCCGCAAUGGGCGAAAGCCUGACGGAGCAAUACCGCGUGAGGGAGGAAGGCUCUUGGGUUGUAAACCUCUUUUCUCAAGGAAUAAUUAUGAAGGUACUUGAGGAAUCAGCAUCGGCUAACUCCGUGCCAGCAGCCGCGGUAAUACGGAGGAUGCAAGCGUUAUCCGGAAUGAUUGGGCGUAAAGCGUUCGUAGGUGGCUCAUCAAGUCGGCUGUUAAAGAGUCUGGCUUAACCAGAUAAGGGCAGUGGAAACUGAAGAGCUAGAGUAUGGUAGGGGUAGAGGGAAUUCCUGGUGUAGCGGUGAAAUGCGUAGAGAUCAGGAAGAACACCGGUGGCGAAAGCGCUCUGCUGGACCAUAACUGACACUGAGGGACGAAAGCUAGGGGAGCGAAUGGGAUUAGAUACCCCAGUAGUCCUAGCCGUAAACGAUGGAUACUAGGCGUUG